AGAGUUUGAUCCUGGCUCAGGAUGAACGCUAGCUACAGGCUUAACACAUGCAAGUCGAGGGGCAGCAUGUCGGUUGCUUGCAACCGAUGAUGGCGACCGGCGCACGGGUGAGUAACGCGUAUCCAACCUACCCUUGUCCAUCGGAUAACCCGUCGAAAGGCGGCCUAACACGAUAUGCGGUUCUCAGCAGGCAUCUAACGAGAACGAAAUGUGAAGGAGAAGGAUGGGGAUGCGUCUGAUUAGCUUGUUGGCGGGGUAACGGCCCACAAGGCUACGAUCAGUAGGGGUUCUGAGAGGAAGGUCCCCCACAUUGGAACUGAGACACGGUCCAAACUCCUACGGGAGGCAGCAGUGAGGAAUAUUGGUCAAUGGACGGGAGUCUGAACCAGCCAAGUAGCGUGCAGGACGACGGCCCUAUGGGUUGUAAACUGCUUUUAUAGGGGGAUAGAGUGUGCCACGUGUGGCAUAUUGCAGGUACCCUAUGAAUAAGGACCGGCUAAUUCCGUGCCAGCAGCCGCGGUAAUACGGAAGGUCCGGGCGUUAUCCGGAUUUAUUGGGUUUAAAGGGAGCGUAGGCCGUCUUAUAAGCGUGUUGUGAAAUGUCGGGGCUCAACCUGGGCAUUGCAGCGCGAACUGUGAGACUUGAGUGCGCAGGAAGUAGGCGGAACUCGUCGCGUAGCGGUGAAAUGCUUAGAUAUGACGAAGAACUCCGAUUGCGAAGGCAGCCUGCUGUAGCGCAACUGACGCUGAAGCUCGAAAGCGUGGGUAUCGAACAGGAUUAGAUACCCUGGUAGUCCACGCGGUAAACGAUGGAUGCUCGCUGUUUGCGUCUGACGUAAGCGGCCAAGCGAAAGCGUUAAGCAUCCCACCUGGGGAGUACGCCGGCAACGGUGAAACUCAAAGGAAUUGACGGGGGCCCGCACAAGCGGAGGAACAUGUGGUUUAAUUCGAUGACACGCGAGGAACCUUACCCGGGCUUGAACUGUAGGCGAACGAUUCAGAGAUGAAGAGGCCCUUCGGGGCGCCUAUGGAGGUGCUGCAUGGUUGUCGUCAGCUCGUGCCGUGAGGUGUCGGCUUAAGUGCCAUAACGAGCGCAACCCUUGUUCGUAGUUGCCAUCGGGUUAUGCCGGGCACUCUGCGAAGACUGCCUCCGUAAGGAGUGAGGAAGGUGGGGAUGACGUCAAAUCAGCACGGCCCUUACGUCC
RNAcentral lists this ribosomal RNA (1204 nucleotides) under metagenome. RNAcentral's name for it is "bacterial SSU rRNA". It matches the Rfam family "Bacterial small subunit ribosomal RNA", at positions 8 to 1209 of the family's 1533-position model. The record is from RNAcentral.